UUAAAGAGCCGCAGUAUUUUGACUGUGCAAAGGUAGCAUAAUCAUUAGUAUAUUAAUUGUAUUCUAGAAUGAAAGGUUUGACGAGGGGUAUACUGUCUCUUAAUAAUGAUUAGAAGUUUACUUUCUAGUAAGAAGGCUUGAAUUUAUUUUUUGGACGAUAAGACCCUAUAGAACUUUAUUUAUUAAAUUUAAAUUUUUUGGGUUAGUUUUAUGGAUUUAUUUUUUAUUAAUUUUGGUUGGGGCGAUUUGAAUAAUAUAUAAACUGUUCAUUUUGAUUUUCAUUUAUUUAUGUUAUUGAUGAUCUUGUAUUAUUGAUUUAAAGAUUAAGUUACCUUAGGGAUAACAGCACAAUUAUCUUUGAGAGUUCAUAUUGACAAGAUUAGUUUGUGACCUCGAUGUUGGAUUAAGGUUAUUAAUUGGGUGAAGGAGCUCAAUGAAUUGGUCUGUUCGACCAUUUAAAUCUU
This 464-nucleotide ribosomal RNA is filed under the name Bolivaritettix lativertex. RNAcentral describes it as "partial 16S ribosomal RNA". It matches the Rfam family "Bacterial large subunit ribosomal RNA", at positions 1923 to 2597 of the family's 2925-position model. The record is from RNAcentral. Lineage: Eukaryota; Metazoa; Arthropoda; Insecta; Orthoptera; Tetrigidae.